AGAGUAUUUAAUUCUUAUACUCAUUUCUGGUUUUCUUUUAUGGUCCUUAUGCUUGGUUUUUAUUUUUAUUAAUUUAUUUUUUUGCAGAGGGGGAGAUUAGUCAAAGCUCGGAAGGGUGUUCUGGUUAUUAGAUUUUUUUGGGGCCUAAUGAAGUGCCAGCAGUCGCGGUAAUACUUUACUCAGGUUUAGAAGUGUUGUGGUUUAAAAUUUGAUGGUUUUAUAAAUUAGAAUAGUAGAUAUUUGGAUUUGUUUUUGGUGAAAUUUGGUUUAGCUGAAUGUUCUUUUGUUUCUUUAUUAUAUUUGUUAUUAUUUUCAAAAGUUUAGGGUUUUAACCAGGAUUAGAUACCCUGUUAUUCCUUUUAAAACUGAAUUUUUAUUUUUUUAUUUUUUUUGUUUACCGGGUUAGUAGGUUUUAAAUUGAAAGCCGAGGGAUUUGGUGGUUAAAUGAUCGCAUUAGAGGGGCUCGAUUUUUAAUUUGAUGGUCCGCGUGAUACCUUACUUAUUUUUGUUCUAACAGUUAGUGUAUUGCCGUUUAGAUUCACUUUUAGGGGUUUAGUAUGUUUUCUUGAGAGUUUUUUCUUAAUUUCAGGUCGUAAUCCUGCUUAUAUUUAAGGAGUUGGUUGAGUUACAUUUAAUUAUUAAAUUAAAAAUUUUUAAAAAUGAGGAGGUGAGUAGUGUAAUUUACUUUUUUAAGCUAACUAGAAUUUAAUAGUAAUUUUCUCAUAAGAUAGGGUUUAUGAAUUUGGUCUAUUUUUCGUACAUAUCGCCCGUCGCGCUGGCUGUUGUUAUUGGUUGGCUAAGUCGUAACAUGGUAGGACAACGUGAACGUUGUCCUGGGAUUUU
Molecule: ribosomal RNA, 843 nt
Filed under: Rhabdopleura sp. NHMO H2137
Lineage: Eukaryota; Metazoa; Hemichordata; Pterobranchia; Rhabdopleurida; Rhabdopleuridae
Description: 12S ribosomal RNA
Source: RNAcentral